AAAUGAAUUGACGGGGGCCCGCACAAGCGGUGGAGCAUGUGGUUUAAUUCGAUGCAACGCGAAGAACCUUACCAAGGCUUGACAUCCCUGGAACCCUGCGGAAACGUGGGGGUGCCUUCGGGAGCCAGGAGACAGGUGGUGCAUGGCUGUCGUCAGCUCGUGUCGUGAGAUGUUGGGUUAAGUCCCGCAACGAGCGCAACCCUCGUCGUUAGUUGCCAACAGGUAAAGCUGGGCACCCUAGCGAGACUGCCGGUGACAAACCGGAGGAAGGUGGGGAUGACGUCAAGUCAUCAUGCCCCUUAUGCCUUGGGCUACACACGUGCUACAAUGGUCGGGACAGAGGGCAGCGAGACCGCGAGGUGGAGCGAAUCCCAGAAACCCGGCCCCAGUUCAGAUUGCAGGCUGCAACUCGCCUGCAUGAAGUAGGAAUCGCUAGUAACCGCAGAUCAGCACGCUGCGGUGAAUACGUUCCCGGGCCUUGUACACACCGCCCGU
This 495-nucleotide ribosomal RNA is filed under the name uncultured bacterium. RNAcentral's name for it is "bacterial SSU rRNA". It matches the Rfam family "Bacterial small subunit ribosomal RNA", at positions 903 to 1397 of the family's 1533-position model. The record is from RNAcentral.